AUUGUGUAUGUCUCUUCUGUAGGGAGACGUUCUUCCCAGAGAUCCAACCUUGAGUUUAUGAAAAGUUGGCAGAUGUUAGUAUAAGAUACGGCAUCCUUCCACCUCUCUUCCCAGGCACCAAUGCCUUGCCUUGAGACACACAGAAAACAAUCUUUAUUGCCAUAUACUUUCACUCAAGUUUCAGAGUGGUAGCCGUGUUAGUC
Long non-coding RNA from Gopherus evgoodei (Goodes thornscrub tortoise), 203 nucleotides. RefSeq lists it as uncharacterized. The transcript is spliced from 3 exons. Lineage: Eukaryota; Metazoa; Chordata; Testudines; Testudinidae. The record is from RefSeq and is a predicted model, not a curated record.